This 497-nucleotide ribosomal RNA is filed under the name uncultured bacterium. RNAcentral's name for it is "partial 16S ribosomal RNA". It matches the Rfam family "Bacterial small subunit ribosomal RNA", at positions 28 to 507 of the family's 1533-position model. The record is from RNAcentral.
GACGAACGCUGGCGGCGUGCCUAAUACAUGCAAGUAGAACGCUGAAGAGAGGAGCUUGCUCUUCUUGGAUGAGUUGCGAACGGGUGAGUAACGCGUAGGUAACCUGCCUUGUAGCGGGGGAUAACUAUUGGAAACGAUAGCUAAUACCGCAUAACAAUGGAUGACACAUGUCAUUUAUUUGAAAGGGGCAUUUGCUCCACUACAAGAUGGACCUGCGUUGUAUUAGCUAGUAGGUGAGGUAAUGGCUCACCUAGGCGACGAUACCUAGCCGACCUGAGAGGGUGAUCGGCCACACUGGGACUGAGACACGGCCCAGACUCCUACGGGAGGCAGCAGUAGGGAAUCUUCGGCAAUGGGGGCAACCCUGACCGAGCAACGCCGCGUGAGUGAAGAAGGUUUUCGGAUCGUAAAGCUCUGUUGUAAGUCAAGAACGGGUGUGAGAGUGGAAAGUUCACACUGUGACGGUAGCUUACCAGAAAGGGACGGCUAACUACGUG